CCUACGGGAGGCAGCAGUGGGGAAUCUUGCGCAAUGGGCGAAAGCCUGACGCAGCCAUGCCGCGUGAAUGAUGAAGGUCUUAGGAUUGUAAAAUUCUUUCACCGGGGACGAUAAUGACGGUACCCGGAGAAGAAGCCCCGGCUAACUUCGUGCCAGCAGCCGCGGUAAUACGAAGGGGGCUAGCGUUGCUCGGAAUUACUGGGCGUAAAGGGAGCGUAGGCGGAUAGUUUAGUCAGAGGUGAAAGCCCAGGGCUCAACCUUGGAAUUGCCUUUGAUACUGGCUAUCUUGAGUAUGGGAGAGGUUAGCGGAACUCCGAGUGUAGAGGUGAAAUUCGUAGAUAUUCGGAAGAACACCAGUGGCGAAGGCGGCUAACUGGCCCAUUACUGACGCUGAGGCUCGAAAGCGUGGGGAGCAAACAGGAUUAGAUACCCUGGUAGUCCACGCCGUAAACGAUGAGUGCUAGUUGUCGGCAUGCAUGCAUGUCGGUGACGCAGCUAACGACAUUAAGUACACCUCCGCCGUCGGGGAGGUACGGUCGGCGAAGAAUUAAAACUUAAAACGGUAAAGUUAGACGGACGUGAGACGUGCCGAACGGACGACGACGAGGGAGGUAGG
Molecule: ribosomal RNA, 616 nt
Filed under: uncultured bacterium
Lineage: Bacteria
Description: bacterial SSU rRNA
Rfam family: Bacterial small subunit ribosomal RNA (bases 1-518)
Source: RNAcentral